GCGCUGAAACGCCCAUCUGAAGGAGGAUUUAGCAGUAAGCAGGAAGUAGAGCGUCCCGCUGAAAAUGGCCCUGAAGCGCGCACACACCGCCCGUCACUCUCCCCGAAAUCAUACCCCAAAUAUUAAAUAAAACCAGAUACUAGAGAGGGGAGGUAAGUCGUAACAUGGUAAGUGUACUGGAAGGUGCACUUGGAAAAUC
RNAcentral lists this ribosomal RNA (199 nucleotides) under Furcina ishikawae. Its description in RNAcentral is "partial 12S ribosomal RNA". It matches the Rfam family "Bacterial small subunit ribosomal RNA", at positions 1302 to 1527 of the family's 1533-position model. Lineage: Eukaryota; Metazoa; Chordata; Actinopteri; Perciformes; Cottidae. The record is from RNAcentral.